AGCCUGCGUACGAUUAGCUUGUUGGCGGGGUAACAGCCCACCAAGGCGACGAUCGUUAGCUGGUCUGAGAGGAUGAUCAGCCACACUGGGACUGAGACACGGCCCAGACUCCUACGGGAGGCAGCAGUGGGGAAUAUCGGACAAUGGGCGCAAGCCUGAUCCAGCAAUGCCGCGUGAGUGAAGAAGGUCUUCGGAUUGUAAACCCCUUUCGAUCGGAACGAAUCCCCUCCUGGUAAACAAUCAGGAGGAUCGACGGUACCGAGAGAAGAAGCCACGGCUAACUCUGUGCCAGCAGCCGCGGUAAGACAGAGGUGGCGAGCGUUGUUCGGAUUUAUUGGGCGUAAAGCGAACGCAGGUGGUUUGGUAAGUCAGAGGUGAAAGACCACAGCUUAACUGUGGCACUGCCUUUGAUACUGCCUUUCUUGAGUGCAUGAGGGGGAAGCGGAAUUCCGAGUGUAGAGGUGAAAUUCGUAGAUAUUCGGAGGAACACCGGUGGCGAAGGCGGCUUCCUGGCAUGUAACUGACACUCAUGUUCGAAAGCGUGGGUAGCAAACAGGAUUAGAUACCCUGGUAGUCCACGCCCUAAACGAUGGGCACUAGGUGUGGGAGGUAUCGACCCCUUCCGUGCCGCAGCUAACGCAUUAAGUGCCCCGCCUGGGGAGUACGGCCGCAAGGUGAA
RNAcentral lists this ribosomal RNA (679 nucleotides) under uncultured bacterium. RNAcentral's name for it is "bacterial SSU rRNA". It matches the Rfam family "Bacterial small subunit ribosomal RNA", at positions 228 to 897 of the family's 1533-position model. The record is from RNAcentral.